This 253-nucleotide ribosomal RNA is filed under the name uncultured bacterium. RNAcentral's name for it is "partial 16S ribosomal RNA". It matches the Rfam family "Bacterial small subunit ribosomal RNA", at positions 524 to 776 of the family's 1533-position model. The record is from RNAcentral.
UACGUAGGGUGCAAGCGUUAAUCGGAAUUACUGGGCGUAAAGCGUGCGCAGGCGGUUGUGUAAGACAGGUGUGAAAUCCCCGGGCUUAACCUGGGAACUGCACUUGUGACUGCACGGCUGGAGUGCGGCAGAGGGGGAUGGAAUUCCGCGUGUAGCAGUGAAAUGCGUAGAUAUGCGGAGGAACACCGAUGGCGAAGGCAAUCCCCUGGGCCUGCACUGACGCUCAUGCACGAAAGCGUAGGGAGCAAACAGG